RNAcentral lists this long non-coding RNA (949 nucleotides) under Monodelphis domestica (gray short-tailed opossum). Its description in RNAcentral is "lncRNA (ENSMODG00000034628.2)". Lineage: Eukaryota; Metazoa; Chordata; Mammalia; Didelphimorphia; Didelphidae. The record is from RNAcentral.
GCAAGCCAAGAAGUUAAUAGCUUCUCUUCUUUUGGCAGAGAGAGAUAUCACCAGCAGAUGUCUGGAAAAUCCGAUUCUCCCAUCGAUGCUAAAUCAUGCCCUCUGUGCCAGGACUUCUUCAGGAUUAUUGGACCAUCGAAGUUUGAUAUCUCUACACCAAACUGCUUCACUUUAUAUGAAAGCCCUUGGAAAAAGCACAAAGGAAGCAUAUAAAAAGUACCAGGGAAGGGACCAAGUUCCUCCAACUGAAGAACCUGCAAGGCAGGAAGCCAACAGCUAGGAUUACCCUUCUGACCUAAUGGAAGGCAAAUGCCUGUUAAGGGAAGAUCAACUCUGAGAAAGAAAAGAACUUUCUGUUAAAUAAGUGAAAACAAAGUUGGAGGUGCUCUAACAGGAUUUCGAGGAGAGGAGUGGUGUGGGUCAUGUUCCCACUUGAAAAUGAAAGUGUUCUCCUGGCUGAGGUUGCCUGGCCAAAUCAGUGAUUUAGAAGCAUAAAAUGAGUCACUGAUACCCUGUGAAUGGACUUGAGAGCUGGAUGAGGGAGGUCUUAUUGGUCUUUAACACCUGCUAACUUUCCUUAAGGUUAAAAAAAAAAUUCUGUUCAGUGUUUUGCCACACAGAUCCUUUUGAAUCUCCAACACUUAGCACAGUGCCUGGCACAUAGUAGUGACUUGGUACAUAUUUAUUGGUUGAUUAAUUGAAAGGACUACUUGAUACCAUCUGAAGAACAUCUUUUGGGGAAGGAGAGUGAGGUGAGGAGUUGAAUCCAAGCCUUCCAGAACUGGACUCAUCAAAUCAGAGCCAGUUGUAGUUAAAACUCCCCUCCAUUCCUUUUUCAUUCUUCUCCUCCACAGUAGAACCAAGAUGGUGGUCUAGUAGCAGCAAAAACUGAAACCACUCUGAUAAACCUUCAAAAAAUCUCUUCUCUGUAGGCCUGGUCUCCUGUGCA